AUGAAGCUUCUCCCGCGCCUCUGCAUGGCCACCACCAGCGCCGCCGCGGGCGAAAGCGACGCCAGCAGCAACAAGCUCGCCUCGGUCGCCUCCACCUCCUCCUCCACCGUCUCAACCUCCUCCUCCGCCGCCGCGGCCGCGGUGUCCGAGGCGUCCUCCUCCACCUCCCUCCCUUCGCUCUCCGCCGCCACGUCGAAUGCCGCCUCCUUCGCCCACGUCGCCACGCUCCUCCCUCCGCCCACGGCGGCGGCCGCGGCAGCGGCUGUCGCGGUGGUGGACGCCUCCCGCGGCUUCGUCGUCGCCAGGCCGGCGUCCGUGGCCUUCCACGACCUCUGCACCCUGGAGCCGACGUCCACCUCCGACCCGGGCCACGACACCGCGACCGCCGGCUCGGUCAAGUGCGUGGCGCACGUCCACGGAGGCAAGGCCGUGACGGGCCACCAGGACGGGAGGCUGCGGCUGUGGCGGGCCUCCUCGCGCGCGCCCGCCCGGAUCCGCCUCGCCGCCGCGCUCCCCACGGUCUCCGACCGCCUGCGCCGAUUCCCGCUCCCGUCCAACCACGUCGCCGUCCGACGCCAUCACCGCCGGCUCUGGAUAGAGCACGCCGACACCGUGUCCGGCGUCGCCGCGUCCACGGACGGCCGCCUCCUCUUCUCCGUCUCCUGGGACAAGACGCUCAAGGUCUGGGCCAUCCCGUCCCUCCGCUGCCUGCAGUCGCUGCCGGCGCACGACGAUGCCGUCAACGCGGUCGCCGUCGCUCCCGACGGCACGGUGUACACCGGCUCCGCCGACAGGCGCGUUCGUGUCUGGGCGCCCAAGCCGGCGUCCGACAAGACCGCCAAACGACAGAGCAAGAAGCCGGUUUACUACCUGGUGGCCACCCUCUCCCGCCACACGGCGGCGGUGAACGCCGUGGCCGUCGGGUGCGCGGGGCAGGUGCUGUACUCCGGCGGCAACGAUCGCUGCGUCGUGGUGUGGGAGCGGGAGGACAGCGCGAGCCACAUGGUCGCGAUCGGGGCGCUGCGGGGGCACCGCAAGGCGGUGCUCUCCGUCGCGUGCGCGGGGGACGGGCUGGUUGUCAGCGGGUCGGCGGAUCACACGGUUCGGGCCUGGCGGCGCGAGACCGACGGACGGGGGCACACGUGCGUCGCCGUGAUCGACGGGCACGGCAGCGCCGUCCGUUCGGUCGCGGUGGCUCUCGUUCCGGGCAAGAAGCAACUGCAGGGAGGAGACGACGGCGAUGACGGUGGCGAGGAAUGGAGGGUGUGCAGCGCCAGCUUUGACGGCGAGGUGCGGGUCUGGUCGUUGCGGGUGACGACGGGCUUGUAG
RNAcentral lists this ribosomal RNA (1329 nucleotides) under Triticum aestivum (bread wheat). Its description in RNAcentral is "partial small subunit ribosomal RNA". Lineage: Eukaryota; Viridiplantae; Streptophyta; Magnoliopsida; Poales; Poaceae. The record is from RNAcentral.